GGCCAUGUAGCUCAGUGGAAAGAGCGCUUCCCUCCGGAGGAAGAAGUCCUCGGUUCGACCCCGAGCUUGGUCG
This is a non-coding RNA of Dispira simplex, 73 nucleotides long. NCBI's taxonomy places the organism in Eukaryota, Fungi, Kickxellomycota, Dimargaritomycetes, Dimargaritales, Dimargaritaceae. The record is from the annotation of a GenBank genome assembly.